GGGUCGUUAGCUCAGUUGGUAGAGCAGUUGACUUUUAAUCAAUUGGUCGCAGGUUCGAAUCCUGCACGA
RNAcentral lists this transfer RNA (69 nucleotides) under Escherichia coli. RNAcentral's name for it is "tRNA-Lys". It matches the Rfam family "tRNA". Rfam says of the family: Transfer RNA (tRNA) molecules are approximately 80 nucleotides in length. Their secondary structure includes four short double-helical elements and three loops (D, anti-codon, and T loops). RNAcentral also lists the same sequence under 25 other names. The record is from RNAcentral. Lineage: Bacteria; Pseudomonadati; Pseudomonadota; Gammaproteobacteria; Enterobacterales; Enterobacteriaceae.